This 477-nucleotide ribosomal RNA is filed under the name uncultured organism. Its description in RNAcentral is "partial 16S ribosomal RNA". It matches the Rfam family "Bacterial small subunit ribosomal RNA", at positions 332 to 800 of the family's 1533-position model. The record is from RNAcentral.
UACACUCCUACGGGAGGCAGCAGUGGGGAAUUUUGGACAAUGGGCGAAAGCCUGAUCCAGCAAUGCCGCGUGAGUGAAGAAGGCUUUCGGGUUGUAAAGCUCUUUUGUCAGGGAAGAAACGGUGAAAGCUAAUAUCUUUUGCUAAUGACGGUACCUGAAGAAUAAGCACCGGCUAACUACGUGCCAGCAGCCGCGGUAAUACGUAGGGUGCAAGCGUUAAUCGGAAUUACUGGGCGUAAAGCGUGCGCAGGCGGUUUUGUAAGUCUGAUGUGAAAUCCCCGGGCUCAACCUGGGAAUUGCAUUGGAGACUGCAAGGCUAGAAUCUGGCAGAGGGGGGUAGAAUUCCACGUGUAGCAGUGAAAUGCGUAGAUAUGUGGAGGAACACCGAUGGCGAAGGCAGCCCCCUGGGUCAAGAUUGACGCUCAUGCACGAAAGCGUGGGGAGCAAACAGGAUUAGAAACCCUAGUAGUCCCAUGA